This 497-nucleotide ribosomal RNA is filed under the name uncultured bacterium. RNAcentral's name for it is "partial 16S ribosomal RNA". It matches the Rfam family "Bacterial small subunit ribosomal RNA", at positions 28 to 507 of the family's 1533-position model. The record is from RNAcentral.
GAUGAACGCUGGCGGCGUGCCUAAUACAUGCAAGUCGAGCGAACAGACGAGGAGCUUGCUCCUCUGACGUUAGCGGCGGACGGGUGAGUAACACGUGGAUAACCUACCUAUAAGACUGGGAUAACUUCGGGAAACCGGAGCUAAUACCGGAUAAUAUAUUGAACCGCAUGGUUCAAUAGCGAAAGACGGUUUUGCUGUCACUUAUAGAUGGAUCCGCGCCGCAUUAGCUAGUUGGUAAGGUAACGGCUUACCAAGGCAACGAUGCGUAGCCUACCUGAGAGGGUGAUCGGCCACACUGGAACUGAGACACGGUCCAGACUCCUACGGGAGGCAGCAGUAGGGAAUCUUCCGCAAUGGGCGAAAGCUUGACGGAGCAACGCCGCGUGAGUGAUGAAGGUCUUCGGAUCGUAAAACUCUGUUAUUAGGGAAGAACAAAUGUGUAAGUAACUAUGCACGUCUUGACGGUACCUAAUCAGAAAGCCACGGCUAACUACGUG